Ustulina deusta is the source of this 93-nucleotide non-coding RNA. The record is from the annotation of a GenBank genome assembly. NCBI's taxonomy places the organism in Eukaryota, Fungi, Ascomycota, Sordariomycetes, Xylariales, Xylariaceae.
GGGGUGGUGGCGCAGUUGGGAGCGCGUUAGACUGAAGUAAACUUUAAUCAAUCAAUCAUCUAAAGGUCAUCGGUUCAAGCCCGAUUCAUCCCA